Molecule: long non-coding RNA, 919 nt
Organism: Musa acuminata subsp. malaccensis (wild Malaysian banana)
Lineage: Eukaryota; Viridiplantae; Streptophyta; Magnoliopsida; Zingiberales; Musaceae
Source: RefSeq, a predicted model, not a curated record
UCCUGCUUUUAGGGUUUCACUGGAAAAGCUAGCCUGUUGACUUUGGAGCCGACGAUCCAUGGGAAAGACCGAGUUGCUCGAUUUGAGACCGUCAUGUGGGAUUGGGAACAACAUUGACUUGAUCCAAGCCAACUCCUCAGAAGACCAGCUUGAUAGUAGAAGGCGGUUUGCAUGUAAUCUGAAGCUGACAAGAGGAGACAAAACAUAAAGUGCAAACUUUUGUAUUGGGGUGAACAUGUGAGCUUGGCUGCUUGUUACUGCUUCCCUGCUAUGGGUUGGCUUGAGCCUGAACCAUCCUGUCACCACCCUGUCAAACACUGCUUGGGGAGGCAGUCUCCAGUACACUGUGAUCACCAAAUGGCCCUCAGAGUUGGAAAAGAAGACAACACUAGAGGUCUUCUCCCCUGCCUACCCAGGUUUCUCUCUUGCCAUUUAUGGGUGGUGAAGCCAUGGCCCCACCCUAGAAUUCUGGGCCAGAAGAGCUUGGAACCUGUUGCUGUGAAGGGGGGUCGUUACUCACUGAAAGGAAAGCCUGUGAUGCAGGACAUUAGGUGAAGUCAUGUCAAAACAAGUCACAGUGGCUUGGACAGUUCUCAGGGAAGCAGUCUGUGUUCCACUGGCGAGCUUUGUGCAUCUCCCUUUUAACCUUUGGAAACUGCAGCUUCCAUCGGAGAAGAGGGUGUUGUGGUCAAGGUGGAAGCUCAGCAGUGCAAAAUUAAUGCUCUGGCCUUCAAAACCAGUCUCUUUGAUGGCUUGGAGAGAGUUAGGUUUUUGUCUGGGAGCAUCUAAAACCUCAUGUGUUACUGUUAAGAAAAGAAAUAUAUAUCUUUGUUGUUUUUCUUAACUCCAAAGAUAUAUAAACUAUACUGUUUAUCCUGCAUGAGAUUGACUUAUUUGAGGUUGGAAUGUUUAAUGACUA